AGGCUUAGAAGUGUGGACGCCAGUCUGCAUGGAGCCGACCUUGAAAUACCACCCUUUAAUGUUUGAUGUUCUAACGUUGACCCGUAAUCCGGGUUGCGGACAGUGUCUGGUGGGUAGUUUGACUGGGGCGGUCUCCUCCUAAAGAGUAACGGAGGAGCACGAAGGUUGGCUAAUCCUGGUCGGACAUCAGGAGGUUAGUGCAAUGGCAUAAGCCAGCUUGACUGCGAGCGUGACGGCGCGAGCAGGUGCGAAAGCAGGUCAUAGUGAUCCGGUGGUUCUGAAUGGAAGGGCCAUCGCUCAACGGAUAAAAGGUACUCCGGGGAUAACAGGCUGAUACCGCCCAAGAGUUCAUAUCGACGGCGGUGUUUGGCACCUCGAUGUCGGCUCAUCACAUCCUGGGGCUGAAGUAGGUCCCAAGGGUAUGGCUGUUCGCCAUUUAAAGUGGUACGCGAGCUGGGUUUAGAACGUCGUGAGACAGUUCGGUCCCUAUCUGCCGUGGGCGCUGGAGAACUGAGGGGGGCUGCUCCUAGUACGAGAGGACCGGAGUGGACGCAUCACUGGUGUUCGGGUUGUCAUGCCAAUGGCACUGCCCGGUAGCUAAAUGCGGAAGAGAUAAGUGCUGAAAGCAUCUAAGCACGAAACUUGCCCCGAGAUGAGUUCUCCCUGACUCCUUGAGAGUCCUGAAGGAACGUUGAAGACGACGACGUUGAUAGGCCGGGUGUGUAAGCGCAGCGAUGCGUUGAGCUAACCGGUACUAAUGAACCGUGAGGCUUAACCUU
RNAcentral lists this ribosomal RNA (779 nucleotides) under Escherichia coli. RNAcentral's name for it is "partial 23S ribosomal RNA". It matches the Rfam family "Bacterial large subunit ribosomal RNA", at positions 2152 to 2925 of the family's 2925-position model. The record is from RNAcentral. Lineage: Bacteria; Pseudomonadati; Pseudomonadota; Gammaproteobacteria; Enterobacterales; Enterobacteriaceae.